UGAGGAAUACGGGCGUGGGAACUUGUGAGCUGUCCCUGAGGAAAGAACGGAGAACCAGCCGCCGUCAGCCUGCGGGAGGCGAGCCGUGGCUCAGGAAGUUCGUCGAUGUUCUAAUCCGUGGAACAGGAAAAACACUUUCCUGGUUGGUAGUAGUAACUACGAGGUGGAGGGGUGGAAGUGCUCUGCUACCUGUAGGCACUCCAUUGUACCAUCAGCGAGGUCGGGUCUCCUGGGAUCUCAGCCACCGUGGGAAUGGGCCAUCGCCGAUGAGCAGGAGAUAGAAUUCCUGAUGCAGCCAAUUAAAAGAUUCACGGUGCUUGAGGAGGUCAAUGAUAGCGAUGUCCCGAUGGCGCCGCUGCAUUAGCCCGUCGCCGGCGUCGGCGAGCUGCAGCACGCGGCGGCCCCAGAGCUGAGCAGGGACGGACAAAUCUGUGCGACCCAAGCAGUGGUGGCGGCAGACUGGCAGAAAGGGAAAUUUCACCCCAAAAGGCUUGAUUAAUGAACCUAGAAAAUCCCUCGAAUUGGAUCCCACUAAGCGUCCGAGCUCUCCACCGGCAAGAUGAACCCACAGUUUACUGGAUGGGCUCGUAGGUACCAAAUUCGAAAGAAGCAGUACAAGUGUACAGCUAGAGAAGUUGCCGAAACAAUUGUAGCUAUUGAAACAGUGACCCAAGGUGCUGUAGCUCAAGCUAACUAGCAUGCAAGGCCGACAAUUGUGGCGUCAUGGCAACAGAUGUGUCAACAGAAAGAAUUGAAAAUGAUGGAAGAGAGUCCAGUUCUUGAGGACUGUGCAACACAUUCCAGCAUCAGACAGCUCCGAUGACAUGAAGAUAAGAGCGUCGAUGAGGCACAAAUACCAGUGUCUGCAUUCCAGAAUGAUACAUCAUCUGCUGGUAAUGGGGGGAUUUUUGCAAUAGAUAUGUGGAAGUAGAUCUACGGGUUAAUUGCUCUAACAAGGAAUAUGACUGAUGAUGACGCAAUGCUUGAUAGAUAAUCGAAGCACAGAUUGUCGGAGGGGAACAGGUCUAGUGUCCGAACUGAUGUCGAGGAACCUAAGGUUGCAAGUUGGUAUGGUGAGGACAACUGUGUAAGGUGAUAUGGGGGAUAAAUUCUGAUGGAAAGCCGGUUUUGAAGCAUGAAGAGCCAAAUGCAGGAGAGGUGAUGAUUUUCUAUGACAAAAUCCUGUCAUGUACCAACAUGGAUCUUAGCAAGAUAUGGUUCAAGCACAUGGUUCCAACAUUCGCUUUGCUGACGGGAGAGGACUACAUCAAGGAGUUUGGACAAUUACAUUAGUCUUGGUUAACAACUUAAACCGAUCCGGCAUCACUAUCUCAGGAGGUCAAUUGCAUAUGAGGUGAUCUCGAUGAGAGGUAACAUGGGUGAGUUGCCAUGAGAGGUAACAUGGGUGAGUUGCCCGACUUCAUGAUGGAGAAAGUCUUCUUCUGAUGUGGGAGUGCUGAUCUGGUACCAUGUGGUUGCUUUUGGGUGGGACCUUUUUUUGUGCGAGUGAAUUAAUGUGCUUCUAUUACUCAGUGAUAAGCGUUUGGUUGGAACCUGAAGCUGUGCCUACUGUUUGCGGGCGGUCGGCGGUGAUCUUGUAGAAGGAGGUCAAAGACAGAGGGCUUGGUUUCCUUGGUGGCGGAUCAACGUAUUAAUUGCAGCAACGUGGCAGUGGGUAGACGGCUAAGAAGGUAUAGGAUGUCGGUCUAGCACGUCAUAUUUUAUCUGGGCCGGAAAGUACUUGACGGGCGCAGGUGUAAUGAAUGCGACGCAGAGGUGGGCCAUCGCUCAAAGAAAUAAUCAUGUAGGACUCCCUAUACGAGCUAAAAUACAAGCGGGAGUGUGAAUCUGGAAGAAAGCAGACGGAUGUGAUAAAGUGUGCAGGUGUGCUCGGGCUCAUAAGAGCACUUCCGCUACUGUAAUCAACUAAUCAGUAGUAUUCCCUCCGUUUGGAAUUAUUUGUCACAAUGAUGAAUGUAUCUACAACUGUAUCUACAACUAAAAUACAUCUAGAUACAUUUAUUUC
This is a long non-coding RNA of Triticum dicoccoides, 2026 nucleotides long. RefSeq lists it as uncharacterized. Lineage: Eukaryota; Viridiplantae; Streptophyta; Magnoliopsida; Poales; Poaceae. The transcript has 6 exons. The record is from RefSeq and is a predicted model, not a curated record.